UGGAUGGACCCGCGGUGCAUUAGCUAGUUGGUGAGGUAACGGCUCACCAAGGCGACGAUGCAUAGCCGACCUGAGAGGGUGAUCGGCCACAUUGGGACUGAGACACGGCCCAAACUCCUACGGGAGGCAGCAGUAGGGAAUCUUCGGCAAUGGACGAAAGUCUGACCGAGCAACGCCGCGUGAGUGAAGAAGGUUUUCGGAUCGUAAAACUCUGUUGUUAGAGAAGAACAAGGAUGAGAGUAACUGUUCAUCCCUUGACGGUAUCUAACCAGAAAGCCACGGCUAACUACGUGCCAGCAGCCGCGGUAAUACGUAGGUGGCAAGCGUUGUCCGGAUUUAUUGGGCGUAAAGCGAGCGCAGGCGGUUUCUUAAGUCUGAUGUGAAAGCCCCCGGCUCAACCGGGGAGGGUCAUUGGAAACUGGGAGACUUGAGUGCAGAAGAGGAGAGUGGAAUUCCAUGUGUAGCGGUGAAAUGCGUAGAUAUAUGGAGGAACACCAGUGGCGAAGGCGGCUCUCUGGUCUGUAACUGACGCUGAGGCUCGAAAGCGUGGGGAGCAAACAGGAUUAGAUACCCUGGUAGUCCA
RNAcentral lists this ribosomal RNA (583 nucleotides) under uncultured bacterium. Its description in RNAcentral is "bacterial SSU rRNA". It matches the Rfam family "Bacterial small subunit ribosomal RNA", at positions 222 to 797 of the family's 1533-position model. The record is from RNAcentral.